This 449-nucleotide ribosomal RNA is filed under the name Heterosigma akashiwo. Its description in RNAcentral is "partial Bacterial large subunit ribosomal RNA". It matches the Rfam family "Bacterial large subunit ribosomal RNA", at positions 1668 to 2111 of the family's 2925-position model. The record is from RNAcentral. Lineage: Eukaryota; Raphidophyceae; Chattonellales; Chattonellaceae.
CGAGAUGAGUAUUCUAAGGCGCUUGAGAGAACUCUGGAGAAGGAACUCGGCAAAUUGACACCGUAACUUCGGAAGAAGGUGUGCCUUUAGUAGGUGUAGUUGUACAAACGAAGCCCAAUGAGGCCGCAGAGAAUCGGUGGCUGCAACUGUUUAUUAAAAACACAGCACUCUGCAAAGACGAAAGUCGACGUAUAGGGUGUGACGCCUGCCCGGUGCUGGAAGAUUAAAUGAUGGGGUGCAAGCUCUUGACUGAAGUCCCAGUAAACGGCGGCCGUAACUAUAACGGUCCUAAGGUAGCGAAAUUCCUUGUCGGGUAAGUUCCGACCUGCAUGAAUGGUGUAACGACUUCCCCGCUGUCUCCAACAUCACCUCAGUGAAAUUGAAAUACCCGUGAAGAUGCGGGUUAUCUGCAGCUAGACGGAAAGACCCCGUGCACCUUUACUAUACCU